RNAcentral lists this long non-coding RNA (253 nucleotides) under Physcomitrium patens. Its description in RNAcentral is "long non-coding RNA (PPAT_LNC009302)". Lineage: Eukaryota; Viridiplantae; Streptophyta; Bryopsida; Funariales; Funariaceae. The record is from RNAcentral.
UCUUUUUAGCAUCAGCAUGCAUGCUUGGAGACUCUUCACUUUCAUCUACAAUGUUUCAAAGAUCCAAAGAUGCCAAUAAAAGCUCCAUUUUUACCUUUCAAUGGUAGAAAUUGUCACCUUUAAACUUUUCAAUCACUCUCAAACCUUCACCCUCACUAGAAGCCAUGGCUAAGAAUAGGUCUAUUAAAAAAUAUCAAAAAAAAAGAGUCUCUAUGUGCUUAAAAUCACCAAAAUGAUUUUACACUAGCAAAAU